RNAcentral lists this ribosomal RNA (194 nucleotides) under uncultured bacterium. RNAcentral describes it as "partial 16S ribosomal RNA". It matches the Rfam family "Bacterial small subunit ribosomal RNA", at positions 338 to 524 of the family's 1533-position model. The record is from RNAcentral.
CCUACGGGAGGCAGCAGUAGGGAAUCUUCCGCAAUGGGCGAAAGCCUGACGGAGCAACGCCGCGUGAGUGAUGAAGGUUUUCGGAUCGUAAAGCUCUGUUGUUAGGGAAGAACAAGUACGAGAGUAACUGCUCGUACCUUGACGGUACCUAACCAGAAAGCCACGGCUAACUACGUGCCAGCAGCCGCGGUAAU